UGUGAAUUGUGAAAGUUUGUGCAGGUUUAUCGUACAUAAUAUGCAGAGGCUCUGUGGUGAAAAGUAGAAGAUUUAGUUUUUCAGAAGGAAUUCUCCGAAUGAUUUGUGAAAAAUGAAAGUUGGCGUUGGAGGUUUGACGAUAGAGAAGAAUUUGAAAGGAUGUUGCAGAAGCGUCGGUGAAUUUAACGUUAUCGUCGCUUAUAGCUUCAUUUACGUACAAACACGCAUAAGUGCUUGUACGUGCGUAUUCGCAGAUGCGACCUCCGUCCCUGUGGAAUUCUAGAGCUGGUCAAUGUAUAGUUACAUACGUACGGAACAUACCACCGAACCGGCAACUAGACACGAGUGUUUACCCCCCUGUGUGAUCCUUACGUUGCCUGCAAUUUAUAGGAAAAAAGUUCUACGAGAUUAUUCUAACUAUAUCACACACGUGUGUUUUCUGGAUACACGUAUAACACUCGACUGAUAUCAACUAAUUCUGCUACAGACAAGCCUUUUGUAACAUGGUUAACUCGUUUCGCGUUAUAUCGAAAUCAGGUUUCCAAGUGUGUGUUAACGGCAAGUACUUAAUACUAAGGAAGACUGCAAGACCCUGGAUAUCUUCACCUUAAGGGAUCUGUGUAUAUAG
This 628-nucleotide unclassified non-coding RNA is filed under the name Bombus terrestris (buff-tailed bumblebee). RNAcentral's name for it is "misc RNA ENSBTSG00005029286.1". Lineage: Eukaryota; Metazoa; Arthropoda; Insecta; Hymenoptera; Apidae. The record is from RNAcentral.